AAUAAAGUUAACAAAGCAUGCAAAUUUUAAUUAUAAAGCUAUCAACAUUUCUCUUAAAUUGUUAUUACAUGUAAAGGAGGAAUAAUAUGGUUCAAAUUACCAUGUUUGUUUAUGUUUUGACUAUUUUUCUUUCUCUAUUUAUUGUUGUAACCAGUAGAAGUGGUCUUCCCUGUAAAACAGUAGCAGAUUGUCCAGAUGAGUUAUAUUUUUUUAUUGAGUGCGAAAAUGGUUUUUGUGUGUAUUGGAGAGAUUAAAAAUUAAAUUUAUUAAUAAUUAUUAUACAUAUAUUAUUUAAUUUAUUUAUCAUAUUGUUUGUCCUUUUAUAAUUCACUCUAAAUGUGAUUUAUGUUUCUUUGACCUCACUUUGUAUGAUAAGAUCAAAAGUAGUAUUAUUAUAAUAUUUUAUUCUUACCUA
Molecule: long non-coding RNA, 415 nt
Organism: Vicia villosa (hairy vetch)
Lineage: Eukaryota; Viridiplantae; Streptophyta; Magnoliopsida; Fabales; Fabaceae
Exons: 2
Source: RefSeq, a predicted model, not a curated record